RNAcentral lists this small RNA (562 nucleotides) under Pongo abelii (Sumatran orangutan). RNAcentral describes it as "retained intron". The record is from RNAcentral. Lineage: Eukaryota; Metazoa; Chordata; Mammalia; Primates; Hominidae.
UUCUCCCCGGAGGAGUGGGGCUGUCUGCGGCCCGCGCAGAGGGCUCUGUACCGGGACGUGAUGCGGGAGACCUACGGCCACCUGGGCGCGCUCGGUGAGAGCCCCGGGUCCGAGCCCCCUCCUCCUUCACCGGGUUCACAGGGGAGAUGAUGUAGAAGGGCCGAGAGGACUGUGAGCCCUAAUCCCGCACUCUUGCACCAACACCAGCAGCCACCUCCCGUUCCCAGGGCUUCAGGUACCCCCUCGGGAGUGUUUUCACCCGCAUCCACUUCAUUCAGGCAGCAGCACUGCAGCCCCGUCCAGGAGAUGUCCCAAACAGGAAGGAAGAGGAACCCGAGGAAGUCCCAAGAGCCAAAGGGCCUAGAAAGGCUCCUGUGAAGGAGAGUCCUGAAGUGCUGGUGGAACGCAACCCUGACCCAGCUAUUAGCGUGGCCCCGGCACGGGCACAGCCACCCAAAAAUGCUGCCUGGGACCCGACCACAGGAGCACAGCCCCCGGCACCCAUACCCAGCGUGGAUGCUCAGGCCGGCCAGCGGCGCCACGUGUGCACGGACUGCGGCCG